AUGGCGAGGCGUCGCCUCCUUGCCGUGCUUAUGCUCCUCGUCGUGGUAGUGGCAGCCUCCACUUUCCACCAAGCGGCCGCCGCUGGCCGAGGCCUUGCUGCCGUCGAGAAGUUUGCGGACCUGGAGCCAAAGCCAAAACCUAAACCAGAGCCAAUGCCCAAACAAAUGCCCAAGCCAGAACCCAAGCCGAUGCCUAAACCUGAACCGAAGCCAGAGCCCAAGCCCAAGCCAAUGCCCAAACCUGAACCAAAGCCAGAGCCCAAGCAUAAACCAAUGCCUAAGCCAGAGCCCAAGCCGGAACCUAUGCCUAAGCCGGAGCCCAAGCCUAAACCUGACCCGAAACCAGAGCCACCACCGAAGCACAAGCCGCCAACAGCUUACAAUUGA
RNAcentral lists this ribosomal RNA (387 nucleotides) under Triticum aestivum (bread wheat). RNAcentral describes it as "partial small subunit ribosomal RNA". The record is from RNAcentral. Lineage: Eukaryota; Viridiplantae; Streptophyta; Magnoliopsida; Poales; Poaceae.